Balaenoptera musculus (blue whale) is the source of this 348-nucleotide long non-coding RNA. RefSeq lists it as uncharacterized. The record is from RefSeq and is a predicted model, not a curated record. The transcript has 3 exons. NCBI's taxonomy places the organism in Eukaryota, Metazoa, Chordata, Mammalia, Artiodactyla, Balaenopteridae.
GGCUUGCGAGUGCGGUUUUAAGGGCUUGGCGGGAACGUGCGUGAGGCUGCAGCUUCUUGCUCGGGAUGAGAAAAUUAUGGCUCAGAAAGGCACAGCUUGUCUGCAUUUAAACAGCUAGUUGACAGAUUGGCUGGGACUUCGUUUUUGUCAUCAAAGUCAGUGCUCUUUAAGAAUGGGACAUUCUGAAUAGGACAUUGGAGAAGAAGAUGAGAAAAGUAUCUCGCAACCCACUGAAUACAGCCAUUACCACUGAGAACUUCGUCUAAUCCAUCCGAUUUUCUGAACUCCUCUGCUUCUUAUGCUGCUAGUCUUCAAGAGAUCCAUUCAUUGUAAGUUCCAAAGACUUUA